AGCACUCGGGAAUCCACUCCUUGCAGUUUGAUAAGGGACCCAGAAACCAUUAGAACCCCUGGUUCGACUACUAGACCUGCCAGCUCAACUGAAAUUAGCAGGAGAUUACAGAACUCCACGCGUAGACACAUUCCAACAGCACAUGAAAUGGACGAGUUCUUUGCUGGAGCUGAACAAGAGCAGCAGAGACAAUUUAUUGAGAAGUAUAACUUUGACCCCGUUAAUGACAAGCCACUCCCUGGACGGAAGCUGGAUCCUUAGAAGACAUUAGUACUCCAUCAGUACCUGUCCUGCAAAUUAUCAGUUGAUCUUGAGCUUAGGAUUUUUUAAAGUAGCAGGAAUUAGUUUUUAGUUCUAAUUGUGAUGGUGUUAUUUCCAUUUUCCAUCACCCUUCUUUUACUUGUAAAGAAAGAAGUAGGAUUAUCAAAACUGUGUAGACUAAUGGUCUGUAACAUAACGGGGGUUAGAGUUACACAACAAAUACAAAUCAAAGUCCUUUGUCUAACAGAUCAU
This 513-nucleotide unclassified non-coding RNA is filed under the name Hevea brasiliensis (rubber tree). Lineage: Eukaryota; Viridiplantae; Streptophyta; Magnoliopsida; Malpighiales; Euphorbiaceae. The record is from RNAcentral.